This 401-nucleotide ribosomal RNA is filed under the name uncultured bacterium. RNAcentral describes it as "bacterial SSU rRNA". It matches the Rfam family "Bacterial small subunit ribosomal RNA", at positions 28 to 420 of the family's 1533-position model. The record is from RNAcentral.
GACGAACGCUGGCGGCGUGCCUAACACAUGCAAGUCGAGCGGGGUCCAUCCGGUAGCAAUACCGGGGAAGACCUAGCGGCGAACGGGUGAGUAACACGUGAGAAACCUGCCCCGAAGUCUGGGAUAACCCGAGGAAACUCGAGCUAAUACCGGAUGUCUUCUUCUGAUCGCAUGGUCGGAUGAAGAAAAGAUUUAUCGCUUCGGGAGGGUCUCGCGGCCUAUCAGCUAGUUGGCGGGGUAACGGCCCACCAAGGCGUCGACGGGUAGCUGGUCUGAGAGGACGAUCAGCCACACUGGGACUGAGACACGGCCCAGACUCCUACGGGAGGCAGCAGUGGGGAAUAUUGCGCAAUGGGCGAAAGCCUGACGCAGCAACGCCGCGUGCGGGAUGAAGGCCUCGG